GAUGAAGAACGUAGCGAAAUGCGAUACGUAAUGUGAAUUGCAGAAUUCAGUGAAUCAUCGAAUCUUUGAACGCAUAUUGCGCUCUCUGGUAUUCCGGAGAGCAUGCUUGUUUGAGUAUCAGUAAACACCUCAACUUCCAUAUCUUUUUUGAAAUGGGAGUUGGACUUGAGUGAUCCCAACGCUUUUCCUCACCGAAAAGUGGCGGGUUACUUGAAAUGCAGGUGCAGCUGGACUUUUCUCUGAGCUAUAAGCAUAUCUAUUUAGUCUGCCUAAAAAACAGAUUAUUACCUUUGCUGCAGCUAACAUAAAGGAGAUUAGUUCUUGUGCUGACUGGUGCAGGAUUCACAAAGACAGGCUUCGGCCGACUUUGUAAACUCGAUCUCAAAUCAAGUAAGACUACCCGCUGAACUUAAGCAUAUCAAUAAGCGGAGGA
This 433-nucleotide unclassified non-coding RNA is filed under the name soil metagenome. RNAcentral's name for it is "partial contains 5.8S ribosomal RNA, internal transcribed spacer 2, and large subunit ribosomal RNA". The stretch from base 1 to 120 matches the Rfam family "5.8S ribosomal RNA", at positions 35 to 154 of the family's 154-position model. The record is from RNAcentral.